RNAcentral lists this ribosomal RNA (49 nucleotides) under Hypholoma sublateritium. RNAcentral's name for it is "partial 28S ribosomal RNA". The record is from RNAcentral. Lineage: Eukaryota; Fungi; Basidiomycota; Agaricomycetes; Agaricales; Strophariaceae.
CAAAUCAGGUAGGACUACCCGCUGAACUUAAGCAUAUCAAUAAGCGGAG